CCCCCUUCGAAAAAGAGGGGGUAUAUUGCUUUGCUCAUGUCGGUCUGUCGGUCGGUCGGUCCGUCCACCAGGUGGUUGUCAGACGAUAACUCAAGAACGCUUGGGCCUAGGAUCAUGAAACUUCAUAGGUACAUUGAUCAUGACUCGCAGAUGACCCCUAUUGAUUUUGAGGUCACUAGGUCAAAGGUCAAGGUCACGGUGACCCGAAAUAGUAAAAUGGUUUCCGGAUGAUAACUCAAGAACGCAUACGCCUAGGAUCAUGAAACUUCAUAGGUAGAUUGAUCAUAACUCGCAGAUGACCCCUAUUGAUUUUGAGGUCACUAGGUCAAA
Dreissena polymorpha is the source of this 330-nucleotide long non-coding RNA. RefSeq lists it as uncharacterized. The record is from RefSeq and is a predicted model, not a curated record. Lineage: Eukaryota; Metazoa; Mollusca; Bivalvia; Myida; Dreissenidae. The transcript is spliced from 2 exons.